CCUGUUUAACAAAAACAUGUCUUUUUGAGUUAUUUUAAAAGUCUGACCUGCCCACUGAAGUUGUUUAAAUGGCCGCAGUAUUCUAACUGUGCAAAGGUAGCAUAAUCAUUAGUCUUUUAAUUGAAGGCUGGUAUGAACGGUUGGACGAGGUAUAAGCUGUUUCAUAUAAAUUUAUAAUAGAAUUUUAUAUUUUAGUUAAAAAGCUAAAAUUUAAUUAAAAGACGAGAAGACCCUAUAAAUCUUUAUACCUUAUAUUAUUUAAGUUUUUUUGAUUAGUUUUACUUUUAUAGUUUGAGGUAUUUUGUUGGGGUGAUAUUAAAAUUUAAUAAACUUUUAAUUAUUAAAAAUCAUUAAUUUAUGAGUUAUUGAUCCAUUAAUAGUGAUUAUAAGAUUAAGUUACUUUAGGGAUAACAGCGUAAUUUUUUUGGAGAGUUCAUAUCGAUAAAAAAGUUUGCGACCUCGAUGUUGGAUUAAGAUAUAUUUUUAGGUGUAGCCGCUUAAAU
RNAcentral lists this ribosomal RNA (503 nucleotides) under Bactrocera laticaudus. Its description in RNAcentral is "partial large subunit ribosomal RNA". It matches the Rfam family "Bacterial large subunit ribosomal RNA", at positions 1799 to 2568 of the family's 2925-position model. Lineage: Eukaryota; Metazoa; Arthropoda; Insecta; Diptera; Tephritidae. The record is from RNAcentral.